This 462-nucleotide ribosomal RNA is filed under the name uncultured bacterium. Its description in RNAcentral is "partial 16S ribosomal RNA". It matches the Rfam family "Bacterial small subunit ribosomal RNA", at positions 28 to 507 of the family's 1533-position model. The record is from RNAcentral.
GACGAACGCUGGCGGCGUGCUUAACACAUGCAAGUCGAACGGAAAGGCCCUUCGGGGUACUCGAGUGGCGAACGGGUGAGUAACACGUGGGUGAUCUGCCCUGCACUUUGGGAUAAGCCUGGGAAACUGGGUCUAAUACCGAAUAGGACCACGCGCUUCAUGGUGUGUGGUGGAAAGCUUUUGCGGUGUGGGAUGGACCCGCGGCCUAUCAGCUUGUUGGUGGGGUAAUGGCCUACCAAGGCGACGACGGGUAGCCGGCCUGAGAGGGUGACCGGCCACACUGGGACUGAGAUACGGCCCAGACUCCUACGGGAGGCAGCAGUGGGGAAUAUUGCACAAUGGGCGCAAGCCUGAUGCAGCGACGCCGCGUGAGGGAUGACGGCCUUCGGGUUGUAAACCUCUUUCACCAGGGACGAAGCGUAAGUGACGGUACCUGGAGAAGAAGCACCGGCCAACUACGUG